This 743-nucleotide ribosomal RNA is filed under the name uncultured microorganism. RNAcentral describes it as "bacterial SSU rRNA". It matches the Rfam family "Bacterial small subunit ribosomal RNA", at positions 61 to 848 of the family's 1533-position model. The record is from RNAcentral.
GUCGAGCGCCCGUAGCAAUACGGGAGCGGCAGACGGGUGAGUAACGCGUGGGAACAUGCCCUUCGGUUCGGAAUAACCCAGGGAAACUUGGGCUAAUACCGAAUACGUCCGUGAGGAGAAAGAUUUAUCGCCGGAGGAUUGGCCCGCGUCGGAUUAGCUAGUUGGUGAGGUAACGGCUCACCAAGGCGAUGAUCCGUAGCUGGUCUGAGAGGACGAUCAGCCACACUGGGACUGAGACACGGCCCAGACUCCUACGGGAGGCAGCAGUGGGGAAUAUAGGACAAUGGGCGCAAGCCUGAUCCAGCCAUGCCGCGUGAGUGAUGAAGGCCUUAGGGUUGUAAAGCUCUUUCGGCGGGGACGAUAAUGACGGUACCCGCAGAAGAAGCCCCGGCUAACUUCGCGCCAGCAGCCGCGGUAAUACGAAGGGGGCUAGCGUUGCUCGGAAUCACUGGGCGUAAAGCGCACGUAGGCGGGUCGCUGAGUCGGGGGUGAAAUCCUGGAGCUUAACUCCAGAACUGCCUUCGAUACUGGCGAUCUUCGAGUCCGGGAGAGGUGGGUGGAACUGCGAGUGUAGAGGUGAAAUUCGUAGAUGUUCGCAAGAACACCAGCGGCGAAGGCGGCUCACUGGCCCGGUACUGACGCUGAUGUGCGAAAGCGUGAGGAGCAAACAGGAUUAGAUACCCUGGUAGUCCACGCCGUAUACGAUGGAUGCUACCCGUUGGCAGGCUUGCCUGUCAGUGGCG